CCUACGGGAGGCAGCAGUAGGGAAUCUUCCACAAUGGGCGAAAGCCUGAUGGAGCAACGCCGCGUGGGUGAAGAAGGUCUUCGGAUCGUAAAACCCUGUUGAUAGAGAAGAAAGUGCGUUAGAGUAACUGUUCACGUUUCGACGGUAUCUAACCAGAACGCCACGGCUCACUACGUGCCAGCAGCUGCGGUAAUACGUAGGUGGCAAGCGUUAUCCGGAUUUAUUUGGCGUAAAGGGAACGCAGGCGGUCUUUUAAGUCUGAUGUGAAAGCCUUCGGCUUAACCGGAGUAGUGCAUUGGAAACUGGGAGGCUUGAGUGCGGAAGAGGAAGGUGGAACUCGAUGUGUAGCGGUGAAAUGCGUAGAUAUAAGGAAGAACACCGGUGGCGAAGGCAGCUCUCUGGUCUGUAACUGACGCUGAGGUUCGAAAGCGUGGGUAGCAAACAGGAUUAGAUACCCCAGUAGUC
RNAcentral lists this ribosomal RNA (465 nucleotides) under uncultured bacterium. RNAcentral's name for it is "partial 16S ribosomal RNA". It matches the Rfam family "Bacterial small subunit ribosomal RNA", at positions 338 to 795 of the family's 1533-position model. The record is from RNAcentral.